Molecule: small nucleolar RNA, 132 nt
Filed under: Capra hircus (goat)
Lineage: Eukaryota; Metazoa; Chordata; Mammalia; Artiodactyla; Bovidae
Description: Small nucleolar RNA SNORA63 (ENSCHIG00010004541.1)
Rfam family: Small nucleolar RNA SNORA63
About the family: E3 belongs to the H/ACA class of snoRNAs and is involved in the processing of eukaryotic pre-rRNA and has regions of complementarity to 18S rRNA.
Source: RNAcentral
AAGCAGGAUUUAGACUACAAUAUAGCUUCUAAGUGCUGUGUUGUCGUUCCCCCUGCUAAAAAUAAAGUUGUUUCUUUACUAUACCUGUCUGCUAUGCUCCAGUAGCAGCCAGGGACGCUUGGUCUCAUACAU